This 503-nucleotide ribosomal RNA is filed under the name uncultured bacterium. RNAcentral's name for it is "partial 16S ribosomal RNA". It matches the Rfam family "Bacterial small subunit ribosomal RNA", at positions 30 to 523 of the family's 1533-position model. The record is from RNAcentral.
AUUGAACGCUGGCGGCAGGCUUAACACAUGCAAGUCGAGCGGGGUGAUGGUGCUUGCACUAUCACUUAGCGGCGGACGGGUGAGUAAUGCUUAGGAAUCUGCCUAUUAGUGGGGGACAACAUCUCGAAAGGGAUGCUAAUACCGCAUACGUCCUACGGGAGAAAGCAGGGGAUCACUUUUGACCUUGCGCUAAUAGAUGAGCCUAAGUCGGAUUAGCUAGUUGGUGGGGUAAAGGCCUACCAAGGCGACGAUCUGUAGCGGGUCUGAGAGGGGGAUCCGCCACACUGGGACUGAGACACGGCCCAGACUCCUACGGGAGGCAGCAGUGGGGAAUAUUGGACAAUGGGGGGAACCCUGAUCCAGCCAUGCCGCGUGUGUGAAGAAGGCCUUAUGGUUGUGAAGCACUUUAAGCGAGGAGGAGGCUCUUUUGGUUAAUACCCAAGAUGAGUGGACGUUACACGCAGAAUAAGCACCGGCUAACUCUGUGCCAGCAGCCGCCGUAA